GGGUUGUGAGGUUAAGCGACUAAGCGUACACGGUGGAUGCCCAGGCAGUCAGAGGCGAUGAAGGACGUGCUAAUCUGCGUAAAGCGACGGUAAGGUGAUAUGAACCGCUACAGCCGUCGAUGUCCGAAUGGGGAAACCCGGUGCACUCUGUGCAUCAUUGCAGCAUGAAUACAUAGUGCUGCAAGGCGAACCGGGGGAACUGAAACAUCUAAGUACCCCGAGGAAAAGAAAUCAACCGAGAUUCCCCCAGUAGCGGCGAGCGAACGGGGAGCAGCCCAGAGCCUGAAUCAGCUUGUGUGUUAGUGGAAGCGUCUGGAAAGUCGCAGGGUACAGGGUGAUACUCCCGUACACAAAAGCACACAUGCUGUGAGCUCGAUGAGUAAGGCGGGACACGUGGUAUCCUGUCUGAAUAUGGGGGGACCAUCCUCCAAGGCUAAAUACUCCUGACUGACCGAUAGUGAACCAGUACCGUGAGGGAAAGGCGAAAAGAACCCCGGCGAGGGGAGUGAAACAGAACCUGAAACCGUGUACGUACAAGCAGUGGGAGCCUUCUUUAUGGGGGUGACUGCGUACCUUUUGUAUAAUGGGUCAGCGACUUAUAUUCUGUAGCAAGGUUAACCGUAUAGGGGAGCCGCAGGGAAACCGAGUCUUAACUGGGCGUUAAGUUGCAGGGUAUAGACCCGAAACCCGGUGAUCUAGCCAUGGGCAGGUUGAAGGUUGGGUAACACUAACUGGAGGACCGAACCGACUAAUGUUGAAAAAUUAGCGGAUGACCUGUGGCUGGGGGUGAAAGGCCAAUCAAACCGGGAGAUAGCUGGUUCUCCCCGAAAGCUAUUUAGGUAGCGCCUCGUGAACUCAUCUUCGGGGGUAGAGCACUGUUUCGGCUAGGGGGCCAUCCCGGCUUACCAACCCGAUGCAAACUGCGAAUACCGAAGAAUGUUAUCACGGGAGACACACGGCGGGUGCUAACGUCCGUCGUGAAGAGGGAAACAACCCAGACCGCCAGCUAAGGUCCCAAAGUCAUGGUUAAGUGGGAAACGAUGUGGGAAGGCACAGACAGCCAGGAUGUUGGCUUAGAAGCAGCCAUCAUUUAAAGAAAGCGUAAUAGCUCACUGGUCGAGUCGGCCUGCGCGGAAGAUGUAACGGGGCUAAACCAUGCACCGAAGCUGCGGCAGCGACACUUAUGUGUUGUUGGGUAGGGGAGCGUUCUGUAAGCCGUCGAAGGUGUGCUGUGAGGCAUGCUGGAGGUAUCAGAAGUGCGAAUGCUGACAUAAGUAACGAUAAAGCGGGUGAAAAGCCCGCUCGCCGGAAGACCAAGGGUUCCUGUUCAACGUUAAUCGGAGCAGGGUGAGUCGACCCCUAAGGCGAGGCCGAAAGGCGUAGUCGAUGGGAAACAGGUUAAUAUUCCUGUACUCGGUGUUACUGCGAAGGGGGGACGGAGAAGGCUAUAUC
Molecule: ribosomal RNA, 1452 nt
Filed under: Pantoea sp. EKM10T
Lineage: Bacteria; Pseudomonadati; Pseudomonadota; Gammaproteobacteria; Enterobacterales; Erwiniaceae
Description: partial 23S ribosomal RNA
Rfam family: Bacterial large subunit ribosomal RNA
Source: RNAcentral